This 729-nucleotide ribosomal RNA is filed under the name uncultured Actinomycetes bacterium. Its description in RNAcentral is "bacterial SSU rRNA". It matches the Rfam family "Bacterial small subunit ribosomal RNA", at positions 549 to 1276 of the family's 1533-position model. The record is from RNAcentral. Lineage: Bacteria; Bacillati; Actinomycetota; Actinomycetes.
AAUUAUUGGGCGUAAAGAGCUCGUAGGCGGUUGUCGCGUCUAUCGUGAAAGUCCGAGGCUCAACCUCGGAUCUGCGGUGGGUACGGGCAGACUAGAGUGAUGUAGGGGAGACUGGAAUUCCUGGUGUAGCGGUGAAAUGCGCAGAUAUCAGGAGGAACACCGAUGGCGAAGGCAGGUCUCUGGGCAUUAACUGACGCUGAGGAGCGAAAGCAUGGGGAGCGAACAGGAUUAGAUACCCUGGUAGUCCAUGCCGUAAACGUUGGGCACUAGGUGUGGGGGACAUUCCACGUUUUCCGCGCCGUAGCUAACGCAUUAAGUGCCCCGCCUGGGGAGUACGGCCGCAAGGCUAAAACUCAAAGGAAUUGACGGGGGCCCGCACAAGCGGCGGAGCAUGCGGAUUAAUUCGAUGCAACGCGAAGAACCUUACCAAGGCUUGACAUGUGCCAGACCGCCGUGGAAACACGGUUUCCCCUUUGGGGCUGGUUCACAGGUGGUGCAUGGUUGUCGUCAGCUCGUGUCGUGAGAUGUUGGGUUAAGUCCCGCAACGAGCGCAACCCUCGUUCUAUGUUGCCAGCACGUGAUGGUGGGGACUCAUAGGAGACUGCCGGGGUCAACUCGGAGGAAGGUGGGGACGACGUCAAAUCAUCAUGCCCCUUAUGUCUUGGGCUUCACGCAUGCUACAAUGGCCGGUACAAUGGGUUGCGAUACUGUGAGGUGGAGCUAAUCCCA